UACGUAGGGGGCAAGCGUUGUCCGGAUUUAUUGGGCGUAAAGAGCGUGUAGGCGGCCAGGUAGGUCCGUUGUGAAAACUCGAGGCUCAACCUCGAGACGUCGAUGGAAACCAUCUGGCUAGAGUCCGGAAGAGGAGAGUGGAAUUCCUGGUGUAGCGGUGAAAUGCGCAGAUAUCAGGAGGAACACCGGUGGUGUAGACGGCUCUCUGGACCGUAACUGACGCUGAGGCACGAAAGCGUGGGUAGCAAACAGG
Molecule: ribosomal RNA, 253 nt
Filed under: uncultured bacterium
Lineage: Bacteria
Description: partial 16S ribosomal RNA
Rfam family: Bacterial small subunit ribosomal RNA
Source: RNAcentral